GAUGAACGCUGGCGGCGUGCUUAACACAUGCAAGUCGAACGGUGAAGGCGGAGCUUGCUCUGCUGGAUCAGUGGCGAACGGGUGAGUAACACGUGAGCAAUCUGCCCCUGACUCUGGGAUAAGCGCUGGAAACGGCGUCUAAUACUGGAUACGAGCUGCGAAGGCAUCUUCAGCAGCUGGAAAGAAUUUCGGUCAGGGAUGAGCUCGCGGCCUAUCAGCUUGUUGGUGAGGUAAUGGCUCACCAAGGCGUCGACGGGUAGCCGGCCUGAGAGGGUGACCGGCCACACUGGGACGGAGACACGGCCCAGACUCCUACGGGAGGCAGCAGUGGGGAAUAUUGCACAAUGGGCGAAAGCCUGAUGCAGCAACGUCGCGUGAGGGACGACGGCCUUCGGGUUGUAAACCUCUUUUAGCAGGGAAGAAGCGAAAGUGACGGUACCUGCAGAAAAAGCGCCGGCUAACUACGUG
Molecule: ribosomal RNA, 468 nt
Filed under: uncultured bacterium
Lineage: Bacteria
Description: partial 16S ribosomal RNA
Rfam family: Bacterial small subunit ribosomal RNA
Source: RNAcentral